AUGGAAUCACAAUCAGAGUGCAAGGCUGCCUUCGGGAAGCUCGGCCCUACAGCUGGGGCUGCGGGGAUUGCAGGGCAAAUGGGGAGGGAACACGGAUGCUCAUCUCUCCACACACCACACACUGCACACCUGCACAUCACACACCCACACACCUGCACACUUCAUACCACACACCCACACCCGUACAUCACACACCUGCACACCACACACCGCACACCUGCACAUCACACACCCCCACACGCAUACCCACCCACUGCACACCACACACCCGCACAUUGCACAUCACACACCCACACAUCACACCCGCAUAGUGCACACCACACACCCACACACCGCACACCCGCACACUGUACAUUGCACACCUGCAUGUCACACCCACACAGCACACACCACACAGCACACAUCACACACUCACACACUGCACACCACACACUUGCACACCCACAUACCGCACAUCUGCACAGCGCACAUCCACACAUCUGCACAGUGCACACCCACACACCUGCACAGCGUACACCUGCACAGUGCACACUGUACCCUGCACACCCACACAUCCUCACAUUACACCCCUACACAUCACACAUCCACACACUGCACACCCACAUCCACAUACUGCACACACACAUCCGCACACUGCACACCCACACAUCACACACCCACACACCUGCACACUGUACACCCGCACACCUGCAUUUCAUACACCCGCACAACCGUACAACUGCACACUGUACACUUGCACGCUGUACACCGGCACAUCACAAACCCACCCACCACAUACCCACACACCACACAUCCACACAGCCGCAUACUGUACACCCACACACCCCCAUAUCACACACCCACACAACUGUACAACCGCACACUGCACACCUGCACGCUGCACACCCGCACAUCACACACCCACCCACCGCACACCAUACCCGCACACUGCACACCCGCACAGCACACACCAUACACCCACACACCGCACACCGUAGACCCUCACAUCACACAUCCACACACCCACACCACACACCUGCACAGCGCAUACCUGCACAGUGCACACUGUACACCCACACACUGCACACCGCACAACCACACACUGCACACGCACAGCACACACCUGCACAGUGCACACUGCACAUCCACACACCGCACACCUGCACAUCACACACCCACACACCUGCACACACGCACACCCGCACACUGCACACCACACACUGCACACCGAGGGCUUUCCAGACCUCAGAAACAGCACCCCCAUGGCCUGCGGCCCCUCUGCCUCCCUGCAUCUUGUGA
This 1278-nucleotide long non-coding RNA is filed under the name Canis lupus familiaris (dog). Its description in RNAcentral is "lncRNA (ENSCAFG00030002850.1)". The record is from RNAcentral. Lineage: Eukaryota; Metazoa; Chordata; Mammalia; Carnivora; Canidae.